Molecule: ribosomal RNA, 880 nt
Filed under: uncultured bacterium
Lineage: Bacteria
Description: bacterial SSU rRNA
Rfam family: Bacterial small subunit ribosomal RNA
Source: RNAcentral
UUAGAGUUUGAUCCUGGCUCAGAAUCAACGCUGGCGGCGUGCCUAACACAUGCAAGUCGCACGAGAAAGGGGCUUCGGCCCUGAGUAAAGUGGCGUACGGGUGAGUAACACGUGAAUCAUCUACCUCCGAGUGGGGAAUAACCUAGAGAAAUCUGGGCUAAUACCGCAUAACACUUACGAGUCAAAGCAGCAAUGCGCUUGGAGAGGAGUUCGCGGCCGAUUAGCUAGUUGGCGGGGUAAUGGCCCACCAAGGCGAUGAUCGGUAUCCGGCCUGAGAGGGCGCACGGACACACUGGAACUGAAACACGGUCCAGACUCCUACGGGAGGCAGCAGUGGGGAAUCUUGCGCAAUGGGGGAAACCCUGACGCAGCAACGCCGCGUGGAGGAUGAAAUCCCUUGGGAUGUAAACUCCUUUCGAUCGGGAAGAUAAUGACGGUACCGAGAGAAGAAGCCCCGGCUAACUUCGUGCCAGCAGCCGCGGUAAUACGAGGGGGGCAAGCGUUGUUCGGAAUUAUUGGGCGUAAAGGGUGCGUAGGCGGUUUGACAAGUCUUAUGUGAAAUCUCUGGGCUCAACCCAGAGUCUGCAUGGGAAACUGUCGGGCUUGAGUAUGGGAGAGGUGAGUGGAAUUUCCGGUGUAGCGGUGAAAUGCGUAGAUAUCGGAAGGAACACCUGUGGCGAAAGCGGCUCACUGGACCAUUACUGACGCUGAUGCACGAAAGCUAGGGGAGCAAACAGGAUUAGAUACCCUGGUAGUCCUAGCCCUAAACGAUGAUUGUUUGAUGUGGCAGGUACCCAAUCCUGCCGUGUCGAAGCUAACGCGAUAAACAAUCCGCCUGGGGAGUACGGUCGCAAGACUGAAACUCAAAGGAAUUGACGGG